This 27-nucleotide non-coding RNA is filed under the name Rattus norvegicus (Norway rat). The record is from RNAcentral. Lineage: Eukaryota; Metazoa; Chordata; Mammalia; Rodentia; Muridae.
CCUUCCAAGCUGUUGCUACUUCUAAAC